UGGGGAAUAUUGGACAAUGGGGGGAACCCUGAUCCAGCAAUGCCGCGUGUGUGAAGAAGGCCUUCGGGUUGUAAAGCUCUUUUACCAGGGACGAUAAUGACGGUACCUGGAGAAUAAGCCCCGGCAAACUUCGUGCCAGCAGCCGCGGUAAUACGAAGGGGGCUAGCGUUGUUCGGAAUUACUGGGCGUAAAGCGCACGUAGGCGGAUUGUUAAGUCAGAGGUGAAAUCCCGGAGCUCAACUUCGGAACUGCCUUUGAUACUGGCAAUCUAGAGUCCGGAAGAGGUUAGUGGAAUUCCCAGUGUAGAGGUGAAAUUCGUAGAUAUUGGGAAGAACACCAGUGGCGAAGGCGGCUAACUGGUCCGGUACUGACGCUGAGGUGCGAAAGCGUGGGGAGCAAACAGGAUUAGAUACCCAAGUAGUCCCUGAGCGGGCUGGCAAGGCGCAU
RNAcentral lists this ribosomal RNA (447 nucleotides) under uncultured bacterium. RNAcentral describes it as "bacterial SSU rRNA". It matches the Rfam family "Bacterial small subunit ribosomal RNA", at positions 355 to 825 of the family's 1533-position model. The record is from RNAcentral.